AUGAACGCUGGCGGCGUGCCUAAUCCAUGCAAGUCGAGCGAACGGACGAGAAGCUUGCUUCUCUGAUGUUAGCGGCGGACGGGUGAGUAACACGUGGAUAACCUACCUAUAAGACUGGGAUAACUUCGGGAAACCGGAGCUAAUACCGGAUAAUAUUUUGAACCGCAUGGUUCAAAAGUGAAAGACGGUCUUGCUGUCACUUAUAGAUGGAUCCGCGCUGCAUUAGCUAGUUGGUAAGGUAACGGCUUACCAAGGCAACGAUGCAUAGCCGACCUGAGAGGGUGAUCGGCCACACUGGAACUGAGACACGGUUCAGACUCCUACGGGAGGCAGCAGUAGGGAAUCUUCCGCAAUGGGCGAAAGCCUGACGGAGCAACGCCGCGUGAGUGAUGAAGGUCUUCGGAUCGUAAAACUCUGUUAUUAGGGAAGAACAUAUGUGUAAGUAACUGUGCACAUCUUGACGGUACCUAAUCAGAAAGCCACGGCUAACUACGUG
RNAcentral lists this ribosomal RNA (496 nucleotides) under uncultured bacterium. Its description in RNAcentral is "partial 16S ribosomal RNA". It matches the Rfam family "Bacterial small subunit ribosomal RNA", at positions 29 to 507 of the family's 1533-position model. The record is from RNAcentral.